UCCGUAGGUGAACCUGCGGAAGGAUCAUUACUGAAAUGUAACAACUUCUAUUGAAAGGUUCCAGAGUAGGCGCUACGACGCCGAAAUGACCUUCUCACCCUUGUGUACUCACUAUGUUGCUUUGGCGGGUCGACCUGGUUCCGACCCAGGCGGCCGGCGCCCCCAGCCUUAACUGGCCAGGACGCCCGGCUAAGUGCCCGCCAGUAUACAAAACUCAAGAAUUCAUUUUGUGGAGUCCUGAUAUAUCAUUUAAUUGAUUAAAACUUUCAACAACGGAUCUCUUGGUUCUGGCAUCGAUGAAGAACGCAGCGAAAUGCGAUAAGUAAUGUGAAUUGCAGAAUUCAGUGAAUCAUCGAAUCUUUGAACGCACAUUGCGCCCUCUGGUAUUCCGGAGGGCAUGCCUGUUCGAGCGUCAUUUCAACCCUCAAGCUCUGCUUGGUAUUGGGCAACGUCCGCUGCCGGACGUGCCUUGAAGACCUCGGCGACGGCGUCCUAGCCUCGAGCGUAGUAGUAAAAUAUCUCGCUUUGGAGUGCUGGGCGACGGCCGCCGGACAAUCGACCUUCGGUCUAUUUUUCCAAGGUUGACCUCGGAUCAGGUAGGGAUACCCGCUGAACUUAAGCAUAUCAAUAAGCGGAGGA
RNAcentral lists this ribosomal RNA (639 nucleotides) under Phyllosticta capitalensis. Its description in RNAcentral is "eukaryotic LSU rRNA". The stretch from base 262 to 415 matches the Rfam family "5.8S ribosomal RNA". The record is from RNAcentral. Lineage: Eukaryota; Fungi; Ascomycota; Dothideomycetes; Botryosphaeriales; Phyllostictaceae.